RNAcentral lists this long non-coding RNA (1178 nucleotides) under Homo sapiens (human). RNAcentral describes it as "HSALNT0260966". The record is from RNAcentral. Lineage: Eukaryota; Metazoa; Chordata; Mammalia; Primates; Hominidae.
CCAGGCUGGUCUCGAACCCCUGACCUCAGGUGAUCUGCCCACCUUGGCUUCCCAAAGUGCUUGGGUUAUAGGUGUGCACCACCACACCUGGCCUGAAAUGGGCAUAUUAACAGAACCUCCUUGUAGGUUGUGGUCAGGAUGGAAAGAGCAAAUUCCAUGCCGCAUGCAUAGUAGGUGCUCAGUAAGUACUGGCUGCUUUCGGGUGAUCACUCAGUGCCCUGAUGGGUGCUUUACUGCAGUGUCUGGUGCCUCUGGACACAGAUUUCACCUACAAGGCUUUCUCCAGUCCAGCUGCCAUGGACUGCAGCCUUUCUUUCUUGGGUGCAUGACAGCUUCCUUCAGCUCUGUCUGGGAAGAAGUGAUCAGGACCUUUUUGUUCUAUUUUUUUUUUUUUUUUUUUUUUUAGAUGGAGUCUCACUCUGUUACCCAGGCUGGAGUGCAAUGGGGCUGUUUCGGCUCACUGCAACCUCUGCCUCCUGGGUUCAAGCAAGUCUUCUGCCUCAGCCUCCCAAGUAGCUGGGAUUACAGGCGCCCACUACCACGCCUGGCUAAUUUUUGUAUUUUUAGUAGAGGCGGGGUUUCACUACAUUGGUCAGGCUGAUCUUCAACUCCUGACCUCGUGAUCCACCCACCUCGGCCUCCCAAAGUGCUGGAUUACAGGUUGUGGUGAGCCAUGAUCGCACCACUGCACUCUAGCCUGGGUGACCGAGGGAGGCUCUGUCUCAAAAGCAAAGCAAAAACAAAAACAAAAACACCUAAAAAACCUGCAGUUUUGUUUGUACUUUGUUUUUAAAUUAUGCUUUCUAUUUUGAGAUCAUUGCAAACUCAACACAAUUGUAAGUAAUGAUACAGAGGGAUCUUGUGUACCCUUCACCCAGCCUCCCCCAAUGGCAACAUCUUGCAAAACUACAAUGUAGUCUCAUAACCAGGAUAUUGACAUUGAUACAGUGAAGAUACAGGACAUUCUCAUCACCACAGGGAUCCCCAGGAUGCCCACUUCCCUCCACCCCCACACCCCAGCCGUGUCCCUAACCCCUGGCAACCAGGAAUCCACUCUCCAUUUCUAUAAUGUUGUCAUUUCAAGAAUGUUAUUCAAUGGAAUCAUAUAGUAUGUAACCUGUUUUGAGCUUAAAAAAAAAGUAUACAUGACUUUAAUGAGGAAAAUAAAAAUGAAUAUU